AAAUAAAUAAAAUAGGUUCCUUAUCUCUAUGUGAUUUAUAUCCUAUGUCAAGCAUUAAAUACCUCAGAAGAAAAACCCUACUUAUUUUUAUCUUUAGCAGGCAAUACAGAGGCAGGUUCAUUGUGCUUAUAAAAGAUUAGAUAAAGAGUUAGAUGUAAGAGCAAUUGAAUAUUUUUCACAUUUUAAAAAAAUUUUAAGUCUUAGUCUCUCCAAAAAAACGUUGUAAAAGAGACAGCCUUGAUAAUCGGAUAGUCCAAGUGCUCCCUCGUAAGUUUCAGACCUCUUUGCAGUUGUCAGGGACAGACAAAUAGUUUCAUCCAGUAACAAAUGAGUAGAUGUGACACGUGUCACUUGUGAGCCAAGGCAUUUAGGAGACCAUGCAUAAGCCUCCAACUUUCUCUCCUUUACCUUUGGCAAGCUCAAAUUCAUAUGUUGAGACAGAAAAGUCAAAAAUGGGGUACCGUGGACCACUGGAUGGAGAAAAGUCCUGCUAGGUUAUAGCAGACUCUUUCAAGAAAGAAAUAAAACUUGUUCUGUUAAGUAACUAAGAUUUUAGAAAUUAUCUGUUACCAUAACAUUGUCCAAUCUAUUUUAUUUUAUUUUAUUGAGACAGAGUUUCCCUCUGUUGCCCAGGCUGGAGUACAGUGGUGUGAUCUCAGCUCACUCCAACCUCUGCCUCCCAGGUUCAUGCAGUUCUCCUGCCUCAGCCUCCUGAGUAGAUGGGGUUACAGGGGCCUGCCACCAUGCCAUGGUAAAUGCAAGGAACAUUUUAUUCAACCGAACCCUGGUUUGUUCUUUAAUUUGACAGAAAUGUUACAAGACAGGCAACUUUUAUGUUGGCUUUGCAUUCCUAUUGGAUGAUGGUAGCCAUAUGGGAAGGGAUCAUUUCAUCUCUCCUGAAGCAAAGAGCACAGAAGAGCACACAAGUAGGUGUCUGGUAACAGCCCGUUAAUCAACUUGCUUGCUUCAUUUCCAUUUCAUCCCUAAAUAGAAUGUGAAAUGCCAUUUUAUGCCUGAAACAUAGCAGCACAAAUAUUUUCAUGGACUUAGUUCAAUGUAUCUCUUGAAAUGAGGGCCAAGUCAGUUGCUUUAAGGACACCCUCCCACAGCUUGACAGUGGCUCUGACCUGCUUUGUUCAGCUCACGUUAGCACAGACCUCAUUCCCCAGCACCUACAUUUAUGAAAGAUGGAUGAAAUAACUCCUGGUGCUUUCAUCCCAUCCUAAAAUUGUUGCUGCACUACACAAUAACUGUCUAGAGUUGCUUAUUCCUUUUCUUCUAUUAAUAAUACAUUAAACCUCAGUUUAAAAAAAAGCUCAGAGAAAAAAAAGGGAAAAUAAGAUGAUAAUGACUUCUUGACAGAUCUUGAAUGAAAGGCUUUAACAUAGCUUUAACUGAGUUUGACACACCAUUUUUAAUGUGCAAGUGCCUUCUGUUUCCCAAUCUCUUCAUACUUAAUUGAGAAGUCCCACUUAGGGAUGAGCAAAGAGUCUAAUGAACCUCCUCCCCCAAAAUUGUUAAUUCAAAAUAUCUGAUGUUGAUUAUGCAUUUUUUGGGUGAUAACUACUCUCCCUGUUGACGUCUGCAUAGAAAUGGGCUGAAUAACUGUGUUUUGUGAAUAGAAACCACACUGUUCAAAUUGGAAUGUUUUAUUAAUCACAGUUCUUAAAGAUAUUGAACAUUGGAGGGGGUAGAUCAGGGAAUUAAUAAUUCAUACUCAUGAAAUGUCCCUGAGAUGAGUAGCUGUUCUCUUUAUAAAUAUUACAAACCUCACAUACUCCCUUAGGUAAAGACACAAUAUUCAACACACAUAAUGAUGAACAACAACAAAACAGCAUUUUAAUUUGAAUCACAGUAGCCCUAACUACGGUUUGCUCAUCUUGUUAAUACAUAUCCCCUGGGGUUGUGUGAACUACGUGAUUAGUAGCCCCAAAUAAUAGAUGAUUACCCUGAGAUACAACAAUCGACCAUAUUUGGUCACUAUCAGUGAUUAAUGACAUAAAAUAGAAGAGAUAAUCCAUAUGCAUGGAGGACUUGUGUAUCAUUUUAGUAUCAUGUCUAAUACUUCCUGCACAGCUAACCUAACACUUGAACUUAUUUUGGGAAUACAUAUUUAUGUAGGCUUGUUAAUCAUUUACCUAUAAAAAUACUAGGUAUUUCUGAAAUUUGGAAAGUACUUUGUGUUGCAUUUAUUCUUUAGUAAGAAUUAUCAUGGCAUACAUUAGCACUGUGAGAUUAAUUGCUCUGAUUAGCAAAUGUUAUCAGUGACAAACUAACAGAACAUUUUAUUUGCUGCAGGUGUCAUUAAUAUUAAAAAAAUGAAAGGGAAGG
Long non-coding RNA from Callithrix jacchus (white-tufted-ear marmoset), 2331 nucleotides. NCBI's taxonomy places the organism in Eukaryota, Metazoa, Chordata, Mammalia, Primates, Cebidae. The record is from Ensembl.